This 465-nucleotide ribosomal RNA is filed under the name uncultured Klebsiella sp. RNAcentral's name for it is "bacterial SSU rRNA". It matches the Rfam family "Bacterial small subunit ribosomal RNA", at positions 338 to 795 of the family's 1533-position model. The record is from RNAcentral. Lineage: Bacteria; Pseudomonadati; Pseudomonadota; Gammaproteobacteria; Enterobacterales; Enterobacteriaceae.
CCUACGGGGGGCUGCAGUGGGGAAUAUUGCACAAUGGGCGCAAGCCUGAUGCAGCCAUGCCGCGUGUGUGAAGAAGGCCUUCGGGUUGUAAAGCACUUUCAGCGGGGAGGAAGGCGUUAAGGUUAAUAACCUUGUCGAUUGACGUUACCCGCAGAAGAAGCACCGGCCAACUCCGUGCCAGCAGCCGCGGUAAUACGGAGGGUGCAAGCGUUAAUCGGAAUUACUGGGCGUAAAGCGCACGCAGGCGGUCUGUCAAGUCGGAUGUGAAAUCCCCGGGCUCAACCUGGGAACUGCAUUCGAAACUGGCAGGCUAGAGUCUUGUAGAGGGGGGUAGAAUUCCAGGUGUAGCGGUGAGAUGCGUAGAGAUCUGGAGGAAUACCGGUGGCGAAGGCGGCCCCCUGGACAAAGACUGACGCUCAGGUGCGAAAGCGUGGGGAGCAAACAGGAUUAGAUACCCUUGUAGUC